AAAAUAAUGGUGGUCUAGAAUAUAUAUAUAAGAGUCGUCCAAAUGGUUGCAACUCUUAAGAUACAUGAGAGAAGAAUCCUCUGAUAUGAAGUAAACACUUGCCGCCAAUGAGUCUGUUACAUCACAAACUUGUUUCUACUAUUUCUUGAUCGAAAUAAAUUAGGGACGCCUCUCUGUUUGUACAUCCGCCAGGACCACACUGCUCGCUCCAUUCAAUUAGAAUCUGAAAUCAGGAUCAACAUCCAUUGCCCACGCAAAUUUCCCAAGAAGCGACUUGUUAAACAUCUUUUCAAUAGGAACUUCAUGCCGCUUGCACCAUGCAACGGUAAUUCUGGGAUCGAGAUAGUUUAUCUUUGAUGUACCCAAUGCAACAGUCUUCAAGUCCUCUUUAAUCUUUUUGUCAAUUUCCAUUUUCUCUAUCUUUGUUUCAGCCUGAGCAAGCUUCUUCUCCAACGCUUCCGGGGCCAAGUUCCUUUUCGGGUUUCCCUCUGCAUCUUUUUUGGGAGGCUUCCCCUUCCUCGCCCUACUCAAAUCCUCCUUCAAUUCAUCCCUUUGUGCCUUUAGCUCAUCAAUCUUCUCAUUUAAUCUUGACAUUUGAGCAUCGUGAGACUUUGAGACACUACGUUGAUGAUUGCAGAUUAUCGCAACCUCUUUGUUUGCACUCUGAUAACAAGCAAUUUUUUCUGGCAAUGUGACACCCUUUGUAUCCUUGUUUAACAUUUCAUCCAAGGUAAUAGAGGCAUUGUAUGUACGGAAAACUUUAGCUGUCAGACCAGGCAUGAGUUCCUUCAGGUGUGCAUUAAGUUUGCUCGUGUCUAGCAUAUCAAAAAGAUCAUCUCCACCAGCCUUUUUCGAUCCACUUUUUGAUACAGUUCGAAAGUCUCCAAUAGCUUUG
Molecule: unclassified non-coding RNA, 895 nt
Filed under: Hevea brasiliensis (rubber tree)
Lineage: Eukaryota; Viridiplantae; Streptophyta; Magnoliopsida; Malpighiales; Euphorbiaceae
Source: RNAcentral